Bactrocera oleae (olive fruit fly) is the source of this 1121-nucleotide non-coding RNA. The record is from RefSeq and is a predicted model, not a curated record. Lineage: Eukaryota; Metazoa; Arthropoda; Insecta; Diptera; Tephritidae.
AAAGAAGUAAAUAAGAUAAAAAAAACUGUGUGUGUGUCAGCUCCGACGCACGACUGGAGUUUACUCCUCAAGUACGAGUAUCUAACCAUACGCAAAAAAAGUUUAUUCAACUGAAAAAAGAUUAAUAUCAUAUGAAAGGGUACAUUGAUUAUUUGUCCGGUUAUUGCGAACUGGCCGUUGAAAUGCCGCAAUCUACGUAUCUGCAUAAAAGGAAGCCGUGGUGAUAUAAAUCUUUCAGUGAUGAUGUCUAAUUCUGGUAAGUCCGCUGGUCUUUCUGGAUAUUUGAAAGCAUUAAAGGUUGACAACAACGGAAUCUUGUGUUUUUUAAUACUGACACUACAAGUCUUACACACCUUGACAUCAGCCACGUCGGUAAAUGUCUAAACAGAAAAAUAUCAUAUGAUAAGAAUUAAUAAGGUAUUAAAUAAAUAACAAUUUUAAAAAAAUUAAAUUUUUGACCUACCGUUAUUUGUUUGAGUAGAUUUUCAUCAUCAGGAUGGCAAGGUUUCAGAUCGUUUAAAAACCAUAGGCAAUCACAAAUUUUGCAGACAUGACCAAAAGGAUUUUUCACAAACAUCUUGUGAAAUAGUUUAUGCGCUGAUUGAUGCGCACAUUAGCCAUUAUACGAAUGGCUUGGAUUCUCUUCUGGUAGCACAAUAUCCUCCAAAUUUAAAUCAUCUUCAUCAUCAAUUUGUUCAUCUUCAAUGUCUGACUCUGCAUACACGCUAUAAUCACUGUCAUGAAGAUUUUGCGAUUGCAUUGACGCAUCAACAUCUCUAUUUUCGCUUGGCUGAUUUAAUACUUGUAUUUCACCAUUUGGCAAAUGUGAAGAAAGUGUAGGUUGGCUUGGAAGUUGAAGGAUUUCAUCAAAGUUAACUUUUGAUGGACGUUCAUUCCGUCUUUUACUUGACACCUUGACACUUUCAGGACUUGAUGGUGGCAACUGUACAGCAAUCACGGGUGCGACGGACCUUGAGGGUUUGCUGUCUCUCGGCUGUAGUUUUUGGAGGUGGUUUUGAUUGCGUCAUUAAUGCGUUUUUUUUUUAAUCUGCAAAUUCGUUGUCUCUCGGCUGGAGUUAUUAGAGGUGGUUUUGAUUUUUUCUUAGUAAAAAAUUUUUUUA